GUGAAUCAUCGAAUCUUUGAACGCAAAUUGCACUCUCUGGUAUUCCGGAGAGUAUGCCUGUUUGAGGGUCAGUUUAAAUAAAAAUCGGAGUGUUUGCUGCCUUAUGUGGUGACGCGCCGGAUUGGGGUCGGCUUGCCUUCGGCUAAGUGACCAAAAAUCUUGCAUGAUUUGUUAGGACGUAUUGAAAUGAUUUUACGUACGCUUGCGAAUGCGUGAGCCAAC
This 222-nucleotide unclassified non-coding RNA is filed under the name Glomus sp. Its description in RNAcentral is "partial contains 5.8S ribosomal RNA and internal transcribed spacer 2". The stretch from base 1 to 71 matches the Rfam family "5.8S ribosomal RNA", at positions 84 to 154 of the family's 154-position model. The record is from RNAcentral. Lineage: Eukaryota; Fungi; Glomeromycota; Glomeromycetes; Glomerales; Glomeraceae.